AAGCAUAUAACUAAGCGGAGGAAAAGAAACUAACAAGGAUUCCCCUAGUAACGGCGAGUGAAGCGGGAAGAGCUCAGGUUGAAAAUCCGGCCUUCGGGUCUGAAUUGUAGUCUGAAGAGGCGGUGCCUUCCGCCGACCGCGGCCAAGUCUGAUUGGAAAUGAGCAUCAUGGAGGGUGAUAGUCCCGUUCGUGCCGUGGUCGUCGUGCGGAAUGAUGGCCCGUUUUCGACGAGUCGAGUUGCUUGGGAUUGCAGCUCUAAGUGGGUGGUAAACUCCAUCUAAAGCUAAACACGCGGGGGAGACCGAUAGCGAACAAGUACCGUGAGGGAAAGAUGCAAAGAACUUUGAAAAGAGAGUUAAAGAGUGCCUGAAAUCGCUGGGAGGGAAGCGAGGGAAAGCAGUGUCUGGCGGUCAAAUCGCUCCCCCGUAGCCCUCCGGGGCUCGGGCUGCGCUCCGCUGUUGCCAGGGUCGGGUGGGGCCCGCGGGAAACGCGCCGCCGGGUAAGGUGGCCCAUGCGCUCUCGGGCGCGCGGGGUGAAUACCGGUGUUUGCUGCGACCGUGGUCCCGGCCGGUCCUGACGAAAUGCUUUUCCUCACCCCGUCUUGAAACACGGACCAAGGAGUCUAACAUGGACGCGAGUACAGGGGUGGCAGAAACCCCGGUGCGCAGUGAAAGUGAACGCAGGUGGGAGGCAGGAUAUACGUGAAUGUCGGCACCAUCGACCGACCAUGUCUCUUCGGGGGCGAGGUUUGAGUGUGAGCGUGCAUGUUGGGACCCGAAAGAUGGUGAACUAUGCCUGAAUAGGGCGAAGCCAGGGGAAACUCUGGUGGAGGCUCGUAGCGAUUCUGACGUGCAAAUCGAUCGUGAGAUUUGGGUAUAGGGGCGAAAGACUAAUCGAACCAUCUAGUAGCUGGUUCCCUCCGAAAUUUCCCUCAGGAUAGCUGCAGCCGUUUGUCUCACAGUUUUAUCAGGUAAAGCGAAUGAUUAGAGGCUGCGGGGGAGUAACUCCCUCGCCCUAUUCUCAAACUUUAAAUGGGUAAGAGACUGUUGUCGCUUUGUUGGACAUCAUGUUGGAAUGUUGGCUGCUAGUGGGCCAGUCCGGGUAAGCUGGACUGGCGAUGCGGGAUGAACCGAACGUCUAGUUGAAGCGCCUCACUGCCCGCUCACCUAGAUCCCACAAAAGGUGUUGGUUCAUUUAGACAGCAGGACGGUGGCCAUG
RNAcentral lists this ribosomal RNA (1218 nucleotides) under Padina boergesenii. Its description in RNAcentral is "eukaryotic LSU rRNA". It matches the Rfam family "Eukaryotic large subunit ribosomal RNA", at positions 36 to 1256 of the family's 3401-position model. Lineage: Eukaryota; Phaeophyceae; Dictyotales; Dictyotaceae. The record is from RNAcentral.